GCUGUCCGCGGACGGCGGUUACGGCACCGGCGUUCCCGCCGCCGCCCGGCGGGCCGCCCUCGCGAUCGCCGACCGCACCGGCGGGGUGGCCC
RNAcentral lists this transfer RNA (92 nucleotides) under Microbispora siamensis. RNAcentral's name for it is "tRNA-Gly". The record is from RNAcentral. Lineage: Bacteria; Bacillati; Actinomycetota; Actinomycetes; Streptosporangiales; Streptosporangiaceae.